AACUUUUUCCUCUGUCUACCCAUCCACCCGCAUAAGUCAGCUCACAAAAGGACGUUUCGAAGAUCCAAAAACUCUUACUCUCUAGCGAGAAGGUAAAUUAACAGGUGAGUAGCUCAUAUUCUCUCACUUCUAGUCUUAUAUAUUGGGAUGGUGGAGAUCUGCUGUUUGUCUGACCACCUACCCCCUUGCUGCGCGGUGACCGUCCACUACAACUCCAAACACACGUACCGAAGUACAUAUGGGAGUUUUUCUCAUCAUUGUAUUGUCUGCUGUUUAGCCAAAUAGUGAUCUGUAACGAAGGUUCUCUCAAGUCGCACGGGCCAAAAAUCAUGAGUUGGAACGCUGGAGGCCUCGAUGAUGCCCAUUGGAACGACGGUGGUGGCAAUGACAUGACAUGGAAUCCUCCAGGGGACAAAAUCGAGUUCGAUACUGGAGAUUUCGGUGGAGGAAAAGAAUUUGGAGGCGGAGACGAUGCUUGUCGCAA
RNAcentral lists this small RNA (484 nucleotides) under Histoplasma capsulatum. Its description in RNAcentral is "hypothetical RNA". Lineage: Eukaryota; Fungi; Ascomycota; Eurotiomycetes; Onygenales; Ajellomycetaceae. The record is from RNAcentral. RNAcentral also lists the same sequence under 1 other name.